Non-coding RNA from Pangasius djambal, 72 nucleotides. The record is from the annotation of a GenBank genome assembly. NCBI's taxonomy places the organism in Eukaryota, Metazoa, Chordata, Actinopteri, Siluriformes, Pangasiidae.
UCCCUGGAGGACUAGUGGUUAGGCCUUGGUGCCCUUACCGCCGUGGCCCAGGUUCAAUUCCCGGCCAGGGAA